This is a non-coding RNA of Pelobates cultripes (western spadefoot toad), 137 nucleotides long. The record is from the annotation of a GenBank genome assembly. NCBI's taxonomy places the organism in Eukaryota, Metazoa, Chordata, Amphibia, Anura, Pelobatidae.
GCAGGCCCUGAUCGAAGCCGGGUUAGUGCUUGCUGUAACUAACGCGGUCAAACAGAGGCCGAGAGCAAUGUUUUCCACCGACGGUCGCUGCUCAGGCUCUGUGUCCGAGAUCAGCAACAUUAUGGGGAAAUACAUCC